This 253-nucleotide ribosomal RNA is filed under the name uncultured bacterium. RNAcentral's name for it is "partial 16S ribosomal RNA". It matches the Rfam family "Bacterial small subunit ribosomal RNA", at positions 524 to 776 of the family's 1533-position model. The record is from RNAcentral.
UACGAAGGGGACUAGCGUUGUUCGGAAUUACUGGGCGUAAAGCGCACGUAGGCGGAUUUGUUAGUCAGGGGUGAAAUCCCGGGGCUCAACCUCGGAACUGCCUUUGAUACUGCAAAUCUCGAGUCCGAUAGAGGUGGGUGGAAUUCCUAGUGUAGAGGUGAAAUUCGUAGAUAUUAGGAAGAACACCGGUGGCGAAGGCGGCCCACUGGAUCGGUACUGACGCUGAGGCACGAAAGUGUGGGGAUCAAACAGG